Molecule: ribosomal RNA, 427 nt
Filed under: uncultured Acidobacterium sp.
Lineage: Bacteria; Pseudomonadati; Acidobacteriota; Terriglobia; Terriglobales; Acidobacteriaceae
Description: bacterial SSU rRNA
Rfam family: Bacterial small subunit ribosomal RNA
Source: RNAcentral
AACGCGAAGAACCUUACCUGGACUCGAAAUGUUGUGGACCGGGGUAGAAAUAUCCCUUCCCCGCAAGGGGCUGCAAUAUAGGUGCUGCAUGGCUGUCGUCAGCUCGUGUCGUGAGAUGUUGGGUUAAGUCCCGCAACGAGCGCAACCCUUAUCUCCAGUUGCUACCAUUUAGUUGAGCACUCUGGCGAAACCGCCUCGGAUAACGGGGAGGAAGGUGGGGAUGACGUCAAGUCCUCAUGGCCUUUAUGCCCAGGGCUACACACGUGCUACAAUGGCCGGUACAAACCGUUGCAAACCCGCGAGGGGGAGCUAAUCGGAAAAAGCCGGCCUCAGUUCGGAUCGCAGUCUGCAACUCGACUGCGUGAAGCUGGAAUCGCUAGUAAUCGCGGAUCAGAACGCCGCGGUGAAUACGUUCCCGGGCCUUGUA